GUCGCAAGACCAAAGAGGGGGACCUUCGGGCCUCUUGCCAUCGGAUGUGCCCAGAUGGGAUUAGCUUGUUGGUGGGGUAACGGCUCACCAAGGCGACGAUCCCUAGCUGGUCUGAGAGGAUGACCAGCCACACUGGAACUGAGACACGGUCCAGACUCCUACGGGAGGCAGCAGUGGGGAAUAUUGCACAAUGGGCGCAAGCCUGAUGCAGCCAUGC
RNAcentral lists this ribosomal RNA (217 nucleotides) under Escherichia coli. RNAcentral describes it as "partial 16S ribosomal RNA". It matches the Rfam family "Bacterial small subunit ribosomal RNA", at positions 185 to 397 of the family's 1533-position model. The record is from RNAcentral. Lineage: Bacteria; Pseudomonadati; Pseudomonadota; Gammaproteobacteria; Enterobacterales; Enterobacteriaceae. RNAcentral also lists the same sequence under 1 other name.